CCUACGGGUGGCUGCAGUGGGGGAUAUUGCACAAUGGAGGGAACUCUGAUGCAGCGACGCCGCGUGAGGGAAGAAGGUUUUCGGAUUGUAAACCUCUGUCUUCGGUGAGGAAACGAGACGGUAGCCAAGGCGGAAGCCACGGCUAACUACGUGCCAGCAGCCGCGGUAAUACGUAGGUGGGAAGCUUUGUCCGGAAUUACUGGGUGUAACGGGAGCGUUAGCGGGAAAGCAGGUUGAAUGUUUAAGGUACGGGCUCAACCUGUACUAGCGUUCAAAACUGUUUUUCUUGAGUGGAGUAGAGGUAAGCGGAAUUCCUAGUGUAGCGGUGAAAUGCGUAAAUAUUAGGAGGAACACCAGUGGCGAAGGCGGCUUACUGGGCUUUAACUGACGCUGAUGCUCGAAAGCGUGGGUAGCAAACAGGAUUAGAUACCCCUGUAGUC
Molecule: ribosomal RNA, 440 nt
Filed under: uncultured bacterium
Lineage: Bacteria
Description: partial 16S ribosomal RNA
Rfam family: Bacterial small subunit ribosomal RNA
Source: RNAcentral